ACAAUGAAGAGUUUGAUCCUGGCUCAGGAUGAACGCUAGCUACAGGCUUAACACAUGCAAGUCGAGGGGCAUCAGGAAGAAAGCUUGCUUUCUUUGCUGGCGACCGGCGCACGGGUGAGUAACACGUAUCCAACCUGCCCUUUACUCGGGGAUAGCCUUUCGAAAGAAAGAUUAAUACCCGAUAGCAUAAUGAUUCCGCAUGGUUUCAUUAUUAAAGGAUUCCGGUAAAGGAUGGGGAUGCGUUCCAUUAGGUUGUUGGUGAGGUAACGGCUCACCAAGCCUUCGAUGGAUAGGGGUUCUGAGAGGAAGGUCCCCCACAUUGGAACUGAGACACGGUCCAAACUCCUACGGGAGGCAGCAGUGAGGAAUAUUGGUCAAUGGGCGCUAGCCUGAACCAGCCAAGUAGCGUGAAGGAUGAAGGCUCUAUGGGUCGUAAACUUCUUUUAUAUAAGAAUAAAGUGCAGUAUGUAUACUGUUUUGUAUGUAUUAUAUGAAUAAGGAUCGGCUAACUCCGUGCCAGCAGCCGCGGUAAUACGGAGGAUCCGAGCGUUAUCCGGAUUUAUUGGGUUUAAAGGGAGCGUAGGUGGACUGGUAAGUCAGUUGUGAAAGUUUGCGGCUCAACCGUAAAAUUGCAGUUGAUACUGUCAGUCUUGAGUACAGUAGAGGUGGGCGGAAUUCGUGGUGUAGCGGUGAAAUGCUUAGAUAUCACGAAGAACUCCGAUUGCGAAGGCAGCUCACUGGACUGCAACUGACACUGAUGCUCGAAAGUGUGGGUAUCAAACAGGAUUAGAUACCCUGGUAGUCCACACAGUAAACGAUGAAUACUCGCUGUUUGCGAUAUACAGUAAGCGGCCAAGCGAAAGCAUUAAGUAUUCCACCUGGGGAGUACGCCGGCAACGGUGAAACUCAAAGGAAUUGACGGGGGCCCGCACAAGCGGAGGAACAUGUGGUUUAAUUCGAUGAUACGCGAGGAACCUUACCCGGGCUUAAAUUGCAGUGGAAUGAUGUGGAAACAUGUCAGUGAGCAAUCACCGCUGUGAAGGUGCUGCAUGGUUGUCGUCAGCUCGUGCCGUGAGGUGUCGGCUUAAGUGCCAUAACGAGCGCAACCCUUAUCUUCAGUUACUAACAGGUCAUGCUGAGGACUCUGGAGAGACUGCCGUCGUAAGAUGUGAGGAAGGUGGGGAUGACGUCAAAUCAGCACGGCCCUUACGUCCGGGGCUACACACGUGUUACAAUGGGGGGUACAGAAGGCAGCUAGCGGGUGACCGUAUGCUAAUCCCAAAAUCCUCUCUCAGUUCGGAUCGAAGUCUGCAACCCGACUUCGUGAAGCUGGAUUCGCUAGUAAUCGCGCAUCAGCCACGGCGCGGUGAAUACGUUCCCGGGCCUUGUACACACCGCCCGUCAAGCCAUGGGAGCCGGGGGUACCUGAAGUACGUAACCGCAAGGAUCGUCCUAGGGUAAAACUGGUGACUGGGGCUAAGUCGUAACAAGGUAGCCGUACCGGAAGGUGCGGCUGGAACACCUCCUUU
This 1529-nucleotide ribosomal RNA is filed under the name Bacteroides fragilis. RNAcentral describes it as "bacterial SSU rRNA". It matches the Rfam family "Bacterial small subunit ribosomal RNA". The record is from RNAcentral. Lineage: Bacteria; Pseudomonadati; Bacteroidota; Bacteroidia; Bacteroidales; Bacteroidaceae.